RNAcentral lists this ribosomal RNA (253 nucleotides) under uncultured bacterium. RNAcentral describes it as "partial 16S ribosomal RNA". It matches the Rfam family "Bacterial small subunit ribosomal RNA", at positions 524 to 776 of the family's 1533-position model. The record is from RNAcentral.
UACGGAGGGUGCAAGCGUUGUCCGGAUUUAUUGGGUUUAAAGGGUGCGUAGGCGGCUAUUUAAGUCAGUGGUGAAAUCCAGCAGCUCAACUGUUGAACUGCCAUUGAUACUGAGUAGCUUGAAUAUAGUUGAGGUAGGCGGAAUUGACGGUGUAGCGGUGAAAUGCAUAGAUAUCGUCAAGAACCCCGAUUGCGAAGGCAGCUUACUAAACUAUAAUUGACGCUGAGGCACGAAAGCGUGGGGAUCAAACAGG